Long non-coding RNA from Scomber japonicus (chub mackerel), 573 nucleotides. RefSeq lists it as uncharacterized. The record is from RefSeq and is a predicted model, not a curated record. NCBI's taxonomy places the organism in Eukaryota, Metazoa, Chordata, Actinopteri, Scombriformes, Scombridae. The transcript is spliced from 3 exons.
UGUGCUGUUCACAGGUCUGCUGUUUUUGGUGCUCGGUCCGGUUCCAGAGGUCUGCUGUUGUUGGUGCUCGGUCCGGUUCCAGAGGUCUGAUGUUGUCGGUGCUCGGUCCGGUUCCAGAGGUCUGCUGUUGUUGGUGCUCGGUCCGGUUCAGAGGUCUGCUGUUGUUGGUGCUCGUCCUGUUCACAGGUCUGCUGUUGUUGGUGCUCGGUCCGGUUCCAGAGGUCUGCUGUUGUUGGUGCUUGGUCCUGUUCACAGGUCUGCUGUUGUUGGUGCUUGGUCCGGUUCCAGAGGUCUGCUGUUGUUGGUGCUUGGUCCGGUUCCACAGGUCUGCUGUUGUUGGAGCUUGGUCCGGCUCCAGAGGUCUGCUGUUGUUGGUGCUUGUUCCGGUUCCAGAGGUCUGCUGUUGUUGGUGCUUGGUCCGUUCCAGAGGUCUGCUGUUGUUGGUGCUCGGUCCGGUUCCAGAGGUCUGCUGUUGUUGGUGCUUGGUCCGGUUCCAGAGGUCUGCUGUUGUUGGUGCUUGGUCCGGUUCCAGAGGUCGUGUACUGAACAACCUGUUUUAUUAUCAUCCUUUCA